Molecule: RNase P RNA, 376 nt
Filed under: Marinosulfonomonas sp.
Lineage: Bacteria; Pseudomonadati; Pseudomonadota; Alphaproteobacteria; Rhodobacterales; Paracoccaceae
Description: RNase P RNA component class A
Rfam family: Bacterial RNase P class A
About the family: Ribonuclease P (RNase P) is a ubiquitous endoribonuclease, found in archaea, bacteria and eukarya as well as chloroplasts and mitochondria. Its best characterised activity is the generation of mature 5'-ends of tRNAs by cleaving the 5'-leader elements of precursor-tRNAs. Cellular RNase Ps are ribonucleoproteins.
Source: RNAcentral
GCGGAUGGCUGGAUGACUGCGGGGCGAAAGCCGCGAGGAAAGUCCGGACUCCAUAAGGCAAUGGUGCCGGGUAACGCCCGGCGGGGGUAACCCCAGGGAAAGCGCCACAGAGAACAGACUGCCGUCUUCGGGCGGUAACGGUGAAAAGGUGCGGUAAGAGCGCACCGCGGGACUGGCAACAGGACCGGCACGGCAAGCCCCACCAGGAGCAAUGCCAAAUAGGGGCCUUAUGUGUGCAAACACGAGGGACGUCUUAGCCCGCAAGGCCCGGGUUGGCAGCUUUAGUGUACUGGUAACAGUACACAUAGAUGAAUGGUCAUCCAGUGGUGGGGAAACCCGCCAUGGACAAGAUCCGGCUUACAGGCCAUCCGCGCAU